Ornithodoros turicata is the source of this 546-nucleotide long non-coding RNA. RefSeq lists it as uncharacterized. The record is from RefSeq and is a predicted model, not a curated record. Lineage: Eukaryota; Metazoa; Arthropoda; Arachnida; Ixodida; Argasidae. The transcript has 3 exons.
CGUUCUCCCUCCGUGGUCCUGGCCAUUUUUGUUUGAAGAAGAAGAAGGAGAAGAGUGCCCACAUUUCCUCUGAUGAGCGUGUGUUGCUGAAAGGACAGAUGCACGUACUGAGGGAUGUCAAAGCUUUUGUGGAGAGCAUUGACCUUCGAGAACGAUAUUACAAAAUAUUUUGGAGCUCUCUGUCAAAUCUGAGACUCUGACGAUACAGCGAGAGGCGAUCGAAGCGGCACCUACCGAGUCAGGUCAACCUUCCCCCUGCUUUCGCGUUGACUUCACUCGGCGCGACGCAGUGUCAACAGUGACAGCGACAAGACAGCGUCUACGUAAGCGAGACGAACUCGACAAGCCAACGAGACCUGCUCCUAUUGAGUUCAGUCGGUGCAGUAAAGCCGCAUCGGUCACAGACCAUCUAGACCAGGGGACUCAAGCUCAAAUCGAGUCACCGACCGCAUUCACCUUGGACGAGAGCAUGGCGGACCGCACAGAAAAGAAAGUAAUUAUCCUUUAAUAUUACAUGUAACCGUAAGUAUCGCAAAAUAGUCCAGC